This 450-nucleotide ribosomal RNA is filed under the name uncultured bacterium. RNAcentral's name for it is "bacterial SSU rRNA". It matches the Rfam family "Bacterial small subunit ribosomal RNA", at positions 29 to 516 of the family's 1533-position model. The record is from RNAcentral.
AACGAACGCUGGCGGCAUGCCUAACACAUGCAAGUCGAACGGGAUCAUAGCUUGCUAGGUGAGAGUGGCGGACGGGUGAGUAACACGUGGGAAUCUGCCUUUUGGUUCGGGAUAACCGCGGGAAACUGCGGCUAAUACCGAAUGCCCUCGAGAGAGGAAAGAUUUAUCGCCAGAAGAGGAGCCCGCGUCCGAUUAGGUAGUUGGUGGGGUAAAGGCCUACCAAGCCGACGAUCGGUAGCUGGUCUGAGAGGAUGAUCAGCCACACUGGGACUGAGAUACGGCCCAGACUCCUACGGGAGGCAGCAGUGGGGAAUAUUGGACAAUGGGGGCAACCCUGAUCCAGCAAUGCCGCGUGAGUGAUGAAGGCCUUAGGGUUGUAAAGCUCUUUUGCCAGGGAAGAUGAUGACUGUACCUGGAGAAUAAGCCCCGGCUAACUUCGUGCCAGCAGCC